RNAcentral lists this ribosomal RNA (230 nucleotides) under uncultured bacterium. Its description in RNAcentral is "partial 16S ribosomal RNA". It matches the Rfam family "Bacterial small subunit ribosomal RNA", at positions 562 to 791 of the family's 1533-position model. The record is from RNAcentral.
AAAGCGCGCGUAGGUGGUUUGUUAAGUUGGAUGUGAAAUCCCCGGGCUCAACCUGGGAACUGCAUUCAAAACUGACUGACUAGAGUGUGGUAGAGGGUGGUGGAAUUUCCUGUGUAGCGGUGAAAUGCGUAGAUAUAGGAAGGAACACCAGUGGCGAAGGCGACCACCUGGACCAACACUGACACUGAGGUGCGAAAGCGUGGGGAGCAAACAGGAUUAGAUACCCGUGU